AUCCAGCUGACGAGUCCCAAGUAAGACGAAACGCGCGUCCUGGAU
Molecule: non-coding RNA, 45 nt
Organism: Schistosoma mansoni
Lineage: Eukaryota; Metazoa; Platyhelminthes; Trematoda; Strigeidida; Schistosomatidae
Source: Rfam